Long non-coding RNA from Fundulus heteroclitus (mummichog), 432 nucleotides. RefSeq lists it as uncharacterized. The transcript has 3 exons. The record is from RefSeq and is a predicted model, not a curated record. Lineage: Eukaryota; Metazoa; Chordata; Actinopteri; Cyprinodontiformes; Fundulidae.
UGUCUCUGAAGCGUAAAUUUAAAUUUGAGCGCGCACCCCUGAUUGACAAUGAUGAAGUGAGACGCAGCAGGGAGAGGUUUGGGUUCAAGGAAUCAAAGCAGCCUGUUGAAUCUACAAGAACAAGUCAGAGAAAUGUUUACAAGGUUCCAAAUGUCCUUGGUGAGGAUCCAUUUUCCAUUGAGGCUCAUGUAAAGGUCUUACACAGCCAGUAUCAGAAGGUGCAACCAGACACAGCAAUUGUCAAAGAUCGUAUGCAGCGGACCUUUGCAUGGCGGCGAAAGGAGAUCGCAGAUGGCAUGACUUUGGCAGACACACUUGAGAAAUACCCUUUCUUAAGAUCAUCAACAAGCCUGUGUGAAGAAUUGCAGCGUAUUCAUCCCGGAAUGGAAAACGUGCAACGAUUCAGUGAAGGCCUUGCCUGUAUUAUGCCAA